Molecule: ribosomal RNA, 253 nt
Filed under: uncultured bacterium
Lineage: Bacteria
Description: partial 16S ribosomal RNA
Rfam family: Bacterial small subunit ribosomal RNA
Source: RNAcentral
UACGUAGGCAGCGAGCGUUGUUCGGAGUUACUGGGCGUAAAGAGUGCGUAGGCGGUUUUCUAAGUUUGGUGUGAAAUCUCCCGGCUUAACUGGGAGGGUGCGCCGAAGACUGGAAGGCUUGAGUAUGGGAGAGGUAAGCGGAAUUCCUGGUGUAGCGGUGAAAUGCGUAGAUAUCUGGAGGAACACCGGUGGCGAAGGCGGCAUCCUGGACCGGCAUUGACGCUGAGGCGCGAAAGCCAGGGGAGCAAACGGG